CAUCUCCUCCACGAACGACUCCUUGGACUUCAUUUCGAUCGGAUCCGCCUCAGAUUCGCAUCGCUGUCAUCGUUUGUUUGUCUCAGAUCUACGUCGCCAAGGUCUUCCAGCCACUGUUGUUGCUCUUGUCGCAACACCACACCUCCGCCGCUUGCACCGCCUCCGUUCUUGUGUGUAGACGCACAAGAUCGUCGCCGCGGAAAACCCAAAAAUU
Non-coding RNA from Arachis ipaensis, 214 nucleotides. The record is from RefSeq and is a predicted model, not a curated record. Lineage: Eukaryota; Viridiplantae; Streptophyta; Magnoliopsida; Fabales; Fabaceae.